RNAcentral lists this long non-coding RNA (213 nucleotides) under Elaeis guineensis (African oil palm). RNAcentral describes it as "long non-coding RNA (EGUI_LNC020204)". Lineage: Eukaryota; Viridiplantae; Streptophyta; Magnoliopsida; Arecales; Arecaceae. The record is from RNAcentral.
AGUCUAGUAAAUCGCAUAGGACUUCUCCUUUUCUAUCAAGGUCGAUAGAUUCUAUUUAUGUACAUCCUAUUUCAAACAACGAACCUGAAUCUACUAUAGCCAACAUAUACAGCAAAGAUUCAAAUGGCUAGAGAUAAAAAAAUAUGUAGUCAAACUCAGUACCCUCACUAUGAAUAGUCGAUGACACCGUAGGUUAAAAGACCACUCACACCC